Molecule: ribosomal RNA, 636 nt
Filed under: Burkholderia sp. Ms227
Lineage: Bacteria; Pseudomonadati; Pseudomonadota; Betaproteobacteria; Burkholderiales; Burkholderiaceae
Description: bacterial SSU rRNA
Rfam family: Bacterial small subunit ribosomal RNA
Source: RNAcentral
GGCGAGUGGCGAACGGGUGAGUAAUACAUCGGAACGUGUCCUGGAGUGGGGGAUAGCCCGGCGAAAGCCGGAUUAAUACCGCAUACGCUCUGUGGAGGAAAGCGGGGGAUCUUCGGACCUCGCGCUCAAGGGGCGGCCGAUGGCAGAUUAGCUAGUUGGUGGGGUAAAGGCCUACCAAGGCGACGAUCUGUAGCUGGUCUGAGAGGACGACCAGCCACACUGGGACUGAGACACGGCCCAGACUCCUACGGGAGGCAGCAGUGGGGAAUUUUGGACAAUGGGGGCAACCCUGAUCCAGCAAUGCCGCGUGUGUGAAGAAGGCCUUCGGGUUGUAAAGCACUUUUGUCCGGAAAGAAAACCUCUGGGUUAAUACCCUGGGGGGAUGACGGUACCGGAAGAAUAAGCACCGGCUAACUACGUGCCAGCAGCCGCGGUAAUACGUAGGGUGCGAGCGUUAAUCGGAAUUACUGGGCGUAAAGCGUGCGCAGGCGGUUCGCUAAGACCGAUGUGAAAUCCCCGGGCUUAACCUGGGAACUGCAUUGGUGACUGGCGGGCUANAGUAUGGCAGAGGGGGGUAGAAUCCACGUGUAGCAGUGAAAUGCGUAGAGAUGUGGAGGAAUACCGAUGGCGAAGGCA